This 200-nucleotide ribosomal RNA is filed under the name chlamydia-associated clinical sample 643-G. Its description in RNAcentral is "partial 23S ribosomal RNA". It matches the Rfam family "Bacterial large subunit ribosomal RNA", at positions 20 to 210 of the family's 2925-position model. The record is from RNAcentral.
AAGCUGCUAUACGGUGGAUGCCUUGGCAGUCAGAGGCGAUGAAAGACGUGGUAGCCUGCGAAAAGCUUCGGGGAGUCGGCAAACAGACUUUGAUCCGGAGAUGUCUGAAUGGGGGAACCCACCUAACAUAAGUUAGGUAUCUUAAGCUGAAUACAUAGGCUUAAGAAGCGAACCAGGGGAACUGAAACAUCUAAGGUACC